This 754-nucleotide ribosomal RNA is filed under the name Salmonella enterica. RNAcentral's name for it is "bacterial LSU rRNA". It matches the Rfam family "Bacterial large subunit ribosomal RNA", at positions 454 to 1211 of the family's 2925-position model. RNAcentral also lists the same sequence under 1 other name. Lineage: Bacteria; Pseudomonadati; Pseudomonadota; Gammaproteobacteria; Enterobacterales; Enterobacteriaceae. The record is from RNAcentral.
CAUCCUCCAAGGCUAAAUACUCCUGACUGACCGAUAGUGAACCAGUACCGUGAGGGAAAGGCGAAAAGAACCCCGGCGAGGGGAGUGAAAAAGAACCUGAAACCGUGUACGUACAAGCAGUGGGAGCACCUUCGGGUGUGACUGCGUACCUUUUGUAUAAUGGGUCAGCGACUUAUAUUCUGUAGCAAGGUUAACCGUAUAGGGGAGCCGGAGGGAAACCGAGUCUUAAUUGGGCGUUAAGUUGCAGGGUAUAGACCCGAAACCCGGUGAUCUAGCCAUGGGCAGGUUGAAGGUUGGGUAACACUAACUGGAGGACCGAACCGACUAAUGUUGAAAAAUUAGCGGAUGACCUGUGGCUGGGGGUGAAAGGCCAAUCAAACCGGGAGAUAGCUGGUUCUCCCCGAAAGCUAUUUAGGUAGCGCCUCGUGAAUUCAUCUCCGGGGGUAGAGCACUGUUUCGGCUAGGGGGCCAUCCCGGCUUACCAACCCGAUGCAAACUGCGAAUACCGGAGAAUGUUAUCACGGGAGACACACGGCGGGUGCUAACGUCCGUCGUGAAGAGGGAAACAACCCAGACCGCCAGCUAAGGUCCCAAAGUCAUGGUUAAGUGGGAAACGAUGUGGGAAGGCCCAGACAGCCAGGAUGUUGGCUUAGAAGCAGCCAUCAUUUAAAGAAAGCGUAAUAGCUCACUGGUCGAGUCGGCCUGCGCGGAAGAUGUAACGGGGCUAAACCAUGCACCGAAGCUGCGGCAGCGA